AGCAGCCGCGGUAAUUCCAGCUCCAAUAGCGUAUAUUAAAGUUGUUGCAGUUAAAAAGCUCGUAGUUGAAUUUCGGGAUCAAUCUAUCGGUCGUGCAAUAGUACGUACUGAUUUUAUUGAUUCCUCCCUUCUGAUGAACUAUGAUGUCAUUAAUUUGGUGUCAUAGGGAAUCAGGGCUGUUACUUUGAAAAAAUUAGAGUGUUUAAAGCAGGCUCACGCUUGAAUACAUUAGCAUGGAAUAACGAAAUAGGACGUUUGAUUCUAUUUUGUUGGUUUCUAGGAUCGACGUAAUGAUUAAUAGGGAUAGUUGGGGGCAUUAGUAUUCAAUUGUCAGAGGUGAAAUUCUUGGAUUUAUUGAAGACUAACUACUGCGAAAGCAUUUGCCAAGGAUGUUUUCAUUAAUCAAGAACGAAAGUUAGGGGAUCGAAGACGAUCAGAUACCGUCGUAGU
RNAcentral lists this ribosomal RNA (450 nucleotides) under uncultured Glomeromycotina. Its description in RNAcentral is "SSU rRNA". It matches the Rfam family "Eukaryotic small subunit ribosomal RNA", at positions 569 to 1024 of the family's 1831-position model. The record is from RNAcentral. Lineage: Eukaryota; Fungi; Glomeromycota.